CUUAAGAUUAAAGUACAGAGCGGAUAAUAAUAAGAUGAAUUAUUUAGCAAUUAUCAUUUUGAGUUUAUUCGUGGUAGCUUCGGCAAUCGGGAACAUCCCAUACGAUUCAUUGGACGGAGUGCAAGCUUCUUUUGAAGAAUUGGAUAACAAAAGUGCCUAUUACCGCUGUAGAUGGAACAGAGAGUGUCAAUCAAUCUGUGAUAUGGCAUUCAUACCCAACAGGGCACGCUGUGUUCGACGAAGAUGUGCCUGUUUCCAAUUAAAUUAAACAAUUCAAUCGAAAUUCAUUAAUAAAUUAUUGACCCAUUCUAUUAUGAUUUUAAUUGAAUCGAUACGAUUUUGAAAUAAUAGCAAACACAAAGUAAAUAUAAAAAAUAUAACCGCUGCAUCACUAAAUAACUAAAAUCAAAGACGUAAAGUAUUGACAAAAUACUUUGGCGUAUUACCCAUAGCUCGAGGUAACUGGCAUAUUCGUAAUUCAUGGCGGUUGGGAACCGUACUGUGAUAGGAGGCUCCUUUGCACAGGAUGCCGGCUAAAUUAUGGGUACGAUGGCUCUUUCUGUUGUGAAGCAGUAACUUGUAAGGAUUACUGUGUUUCGGUCUGAAGGGCGGUGACGACCGCAGUAGUAGUGCCGCUCAGAAUUUUUGGGUUUCUCAAUAGAGCAGCACUACAUUGUAAUGGGCAGGGCGUAUCAAUUACCAUUAGCUGAACGUCCUGCCCAUCUCGUCACAUAUUUUCAUAAACUUUUCGCUUGAUUUUAUUUUCUACUUUCAGUUUGGUUUUUUAUAAAAGCUUGUUUUUAGUUGUUUUCUUAUAGUAUUAUUUUACAGUAAAAUGUAGGUAUACUUUUAACUUAGGACAGAUUAAAAAUAAACAAAGUAUUUAUUUGUUAAAUAAUAAAAGUAAUUCAAUUCUUAAGACAAAGGAUGUAAGUCCGUUUUGCUCUACAUAUCGCUGGUCAGGGGACAUUGCAAAACUUCACACAUUUUUCAAUGCAAUCGUGGCGUCUGUGAAGAAAUCUCUAGAGUAACAAGAUCACUAUAAUUAUAUCGUGUAUCCAAUUUUUUAUGUUAUUAAUAUAUUAUAUGUUACUUUGUAAACAUAUUUUUUGAUGAAAAAAAAAGAAGCCCGCUGAGUUUGUUGCGCCCGUUCUUCUCAGGUCUGAGGCAUACUUUUUCGAAUGGGUGGUAGUUUUUGACUUUCAAUAAAUGAUAUUUUAGUUUAAAUGAAAAUAUUUGAAUUUGUCAACGUAUUUCCCGUUCCUCAAAAGAAAAAAUGGAACCCUUAUUUAGGAAUUUACGGCACUCAGGGGAAUCAAAAUUGAUUGGCUAUUUCCCGUUGAUAAGUAAUACCAUUUUAUACUACAAGUAUAAGGAAAAAAUCUGAAAACUGAAAUUAAAUCAUUAAUAAAAAUUGUACAGAAUCGUUGAUCGCCGAGUCAGAACUAUUAAAUAAAUCAAACCAUCAUAAGGAAUGUGUAAUAAAUAUUGCGAUACAGAAAUAAUGCUCGACAUGACAAAUAUUGCAUGCAUGCGACAGGCGUGAAGUAUUUUGAUACUUUUAUGAUAAAUAUUAUUUCUGGUAUAUUAUUAUAAUAAUCAUUUAUAGCUAGCUUUUACCCGCGACUUUGUACACGUUGAAUAGUUACUUUGGGCAUUUAUUUUUAACCGACUUCAAAAAAGGAGGAGGUUCUCAAUUCGUCGGUAUGUUCUUUUUUUAUGUUUGUUACCUCAAAACUUUCGACUGGGUGAACCGAUUUUGAUAAUUCUUAUUUUAUUUGAAAGCUGGUGCUUUCCAUGUGGUCCAAUUGUAAUUUGGUUGAGAAAACCAUUAAAGUCUUAAAUUUGCUAUACAUACGUAUAGCAAAGUGGAUGUUAAAUUUACGAAUAAAUCAAUAUCGCCGAUUUCGAUGAUUCUUUUUUAUUGGAAAGGAUAUACUUUAAAGAUAGUUUGGUGAGAGUUUGGUUAGGUUCUGAUUACGAAAUCCAUGACAAAGUAACGGAACUCUUCAAUUCUUAGGAGAAAAAUUAACGAUACUCGGCCGAAUCUUUUUUAUGCUAUGCGGAUAAUUAAGUCGUCUACCAACAUAUCGUUAUGGUCUAGUAUUUGUACUUCUAAUUCACUAAAAAUCAUAAAAUAAAAAAUUAUUAACAAAAAAACAACCAACUUCAAAAACACUAUUCCAAAACAAGAGAUAUAAUGGGCACUAAAAAGCAUAAAAAUAAUUGCGUAUUUUUAACAAACUUCAAAAAAGGAGGAGGUUCUCAAUUCAUCGAUAUUUUUUUUUACCUCAAAACUUUCGACUGGGUGAACCGAUUUUGAUAAUUCUUUUUUUAUUUGAAAGCUGGUGCUUCCCGAGUGGUCACAUUGUAAUUUGGUCCAGAUCUGACAGUGGAAUCCAUGAGAAAACCAUAAGACUCUUAAAUUUUUCUAUACAUACGUAUAGCAAAGUGUAUGAUAAAUUUACGAAUAAAUCAAUAUCGCGCCAACCGAUUUCGAUGAUUCUUUUUUUUAUUGGAAAGCAUAUACUUCAAAGAUAGUUUGGUGAGAGUUUGGUUAAGUUCUGAUUACGGAAUCCAUGACAAAGUAACGGAUAACUGUCUGUAAUCAAAUUGCAAAGUACAUUGUACUUACGUUCAUAGCUGCAUUGAAAAAUUAGGUAUAGUGACACAUAUUUAGACAAAUUGUUAGUUACUGUACUUCAAAUUCACUAAAAAUCAUAAAAUAGUAAUUUUUGGAGUCGGUGUCAUCCAAGAUAGGUUUGUUACUACAUAUAUAGUUAUAGGUGAGAUGUGCUUGAGUCGUGAGGAGGUGAGAGGCGAGAGCUGGUUGCGGCGGAAAGACACCGAUUCCAAAAAUAACAAUAAUCGUAACUAGAAUAAGAUCAAUUAAUUAGAUUGUAUAAAAAUACGCAAUUAUUUUUAUAAUUUUUAGUGCACAUUAUAUAUAUUGUUUGGAAGGCGGUUCCUUUUGUUAAUCUUUUUUUUUAUACAAUCUAAUUAAUUAAUCUAAUUCUAGUUACGAUUAUUGGUAUUUUUGGAGUCUAGAUACUAGACUUGUAAACGGACAUAGGUGAAAAUUUUUAAUGGAAGUUCGUCAUUUUCAAAGACGAAUGUUUGUCCCACGGGCAACUUUAAAUUUAUAUAUAUAUUUAGUAUCAAACCAUAAAAUCUUUAUUUUUUAGCAUGAGAUAAAAACAAAAAAACGUAGUUUAUAUAAAUUUAUUAACCACAGCAGUUUGUAUGUGUAUUAUAUGCAAAGUAAGUGUCUUAUAAAAUAAAAAUACUGCCCAAAGUAACCAUUCUACACGGACGAAGCCGCGGGUGAAAGCUAGUCAAUGAUAAAAUAAAAUUUGAUGCAUUAUAGAUUUAUAGUGAAUGCCUGUCAAAUAGAGAAAAUUUAAUUUAAUUUCUUUCAAUUUAAUCGUGUAUAUAUAAGGGGCUGAUUUUUCAUAUGGCGACACUUAAGAUUACAGUACGGAGCGGAUAAUAAUAAGAUGAAUUAUUUAUCAAUCAUCAUUUUGAGUUUAUUCGUGGUAGCUUCGGCAAUCGGGAACAUCCCAUACGAUUCAUUGGACGGAGUGCAAGCUUCUUUUGAAGAAUUGGAUAGUAGAAGCCAAAGUGACUAUCACCGCUGUAGAUGGGACAGCGAUUGCAUUUCCAUUUGUGAGAUGAUUUUCUUACCCACCAGGGCACGCUGUGUUCGACGAAAAUGUGCCUGUUUUCCAUUAAAUAUAUUAAAGUAAAUAAUUUGCUUUAAAUCGAUCAAUGUGUUUUGAUGAAGCUAUAAAUAAACUAUUGAGCAUUU
Molecule: long non-coding RNA, 3808 nt
Organism: Leptidea sinapis
Lineage: Eukaryota; Metazoa; Arthropoda; Insecta; Lepidoptera; Pieridae
Exons: 3
Source: RefSeq, a predicted model, not a curated record